Molecule: ribosomal RNA, 72 nt
Filed under: Paratlanticus ussuriensis
Lineage: Eukaryota; Metazoa; Arthropoda; Insecta; Orthoptera; Tettigoniidae
Description: partial 18S ribosomal RNA
Source: RNAcentral
UUCAAAAAUGGGAGGAUGUGUAAAGUAAAAAGAUGUACAAGGUUUCCGUAGGGAACCUGCGGAAGGAUCAUU